This 1767-nucleotide long non-coding RNA is filed under the name Malus domestica (apple). Its description in RNAcentral is "long non-coding RNA (MDOM_LNC000092)". Lineage: Eukaryota; Viridiplantae; Streptophyta; Magnoliopsida; Rosales; Rosaceae. The record is from RNAcentral.
UUCACGCCAUUACCGGGGAUCGAAUUUGAUUCUAUUACUUAUUGGAUUGUUACAUCUUUUCGUUGGUUUAGCUUUAACGUUAAUUGUUGGUUCUUUUUUUAAUAAUAAAUUAUUUCCUAAUUCUCUUGUUUAACUUACCAAUUGUUUUGUAUUUUUGCAAAAAAGUGGAGCCACUUAAUUGUGUUGCCAACACAAAAAUUCAUUGGGGGUGGAUUUUCCUUGUACAUCUUCGCUUGCACGUCUCCUUUAAACCCUGGAAGUUUCUUUGUCUAAGAGCUUUACGCAUUUAUUUUUCUUUUUCUAUACUUUUGUUGUCUAUUUUCGUUAUUCUUUUCUUCAUUUGUUUUUUUCAAUCCUUUUGUUUUAUUUCUAAAAAUAAAAAUACGUCAAAAAAUAUAAAAUUUUAAAAAAUUAAAAAAUAUUCAUUCUCUACUUAGUAUAUUUUAUUAGUGGUCCUAGACCUACUUAAGUAGUUCUGUUUUUAUUUUUUAUUUUUAAUCUUGUUAUUAUUGGCUACUUCGUAAUUUAGUGAUGAGAUACGAUCUAUAUCGACACACCCCGUCCCGAAGGAGGGCAUGCUGGCCGUCACGUGAGAGUGACGUAACCAUUUACACAGUUCAGAAGCUUUAAAGAUACAAUUAUUAAGAUGUAACACCCGAGGGUGAGUCCUACUUUUGUGAAUUAUGUCAGAACACCGUUAGAUUCCUCGUGGCCACCAAAGCUCUGCUAUCUUGAACCUGGAGGGGCGCAAAACAAAGUUGAGUGGGUCAGUAAAACAAAGUUUUUCGAAAACGUUUCAUUUAACAACAUUUAUAACUCCUCGCUGUAAAACCUGUAUACUUUCCCAGAAAAUAGUAUAUAUAUAACCAUAUAUAAUCUCAAAACUCAAAUCACAAGUCUUUAAUACUUUUCAAGAAAACAUGCCAUGCUAUGCAUCAAAACAUAAUAAGGAUGCAACAUUAUAAUAGGUGAAAUAAGGAAUCAACCGGAGACCCUGUAGUUGGUCCUGUACGGUUAAUUCUAUAGCUCAAUAUCCAAUCCAACCGGAGUCACCAAUUGUGACCUGUAUGACACUACUUUGCACAUAAAUUGGAACUACUUGAAGUAGUUUGUACGAUAAGAAUGGUGUAAUAAUACGCUCUAGUGCUUCUCUCAUCAACAGCUGUAUAAUAAUCUAAGUUCACCUACAAGUCGGAACCACCUCUCAUGGUCUGUACAACAUGUCGGAACCACCUCUCAUGAUAUGUACGACAUGCACCUACUUGGAUCCAAGGUGAGCGUGUGGUGCGGGUGAAUAAUAUAAGCACUAACACCAGGGGUGCAUGUUUGAGCUUUCAACACAAUUCACUUCACAAUAAAUCACAUGAUUAACAUAAAACUCACCUGAUACUCACCUGUGCAUCCACAACACCAUUUAACAUAUAUAUGCAACAAUUACCAAUUCAUAUAUUUUACAUAUAUGUAUGCAUGACAUUUUAAAACAUACUUUCAUUUAAAUUCAAUUUUUGGGAAAAUCAAUAGUAUAUAGGUAAAUACAUAAAAUACUGCCCACUCACCUGGAGUUCGCCCUACACCUCCCUAGCACAACACAUCAAGGCGUCAUGACGAUCGGCGCCUAGAACAAUCAUCAAAUCAAACCUCAGAAAUAAUAUCGAUAGAAUAUAUAACUUAUAUAAAACACGCCACUACGUAGUUCAAUCCGGAGGAUCUGCAUCUUAGAUUUCCAAUCCAAAACUUCCAGAGGUCCACAAUAUAUCUCUAGAACAA